This 182-nucleotide ribosomal RNA is filed under the name uncultured bacterium. RNAcentral describes it as "partial 16S ribosomal RNA". It matches the Rfam family "Bacterial small subunit ribosomal RNA", at positions 1318 to 1500 of the family's 1533-position model. The record is from RNAcentral.
CCAUGAAGCCGGAAUUGCUAGUAAUGGCAGGUCAGCAUACUGCCGUGAAUACGUUCCCGGGCCCUUGUACACACCGCCCGUCACACCAUGAGAGUUGGGAAUACCCGAAGCCUGUGAGCUAACGUAAGAGGCAGCAGUCGAAGGUAGAAUCAAUGAUUGGGGUGAAGUCGUAACAAGGUAAC